UUGAAAAAUAUACAGUAUAUUUGUUGUAACACAUUUUACAAAUUACUCAAUUUGGUUUUUCUGUAUACAGGUUUGCAAAAAUGUCUUUGUCAGUCAUAGGUUUUUCACCACUAAGUGUUGUUAUAGUGUUUAAUAAAUAUAAUGUUUUAAAAUUACAUUCAGGGUGAUAUUUGUUGGUUUUUAUUUUUAAAGAGAAAUGGUUAUUUUCUUCUUACUAAAUUCCCACUUGGACUUUUCAUGAAUUAAAAAGAAAUCAAAGUUUUAAGGAUAAGGAAAAAUAUCAGUCAGUACAAUAAAUUAUUAAAAUAAAUGCCGACUCCAGAUGUUUUGCAAUAUUUUGAAUUUCUUUUUUUUAGUGCUAAAUGUCAAAUGAAUGCUAGAGACAAAAACAUUUAUUUAGAUAUUUCACUCAACCCAUUUGAAGUAAAACAACUGAAGUUUAAUUUUUAGUUACAUAUGAUUACACACGUUUAAAUGCCACCACAAAAAUUUUCUAGAUCUAACCAUUUUUUUUAGCAAGUUAUGUUCUGUUAUUUAUGUUCUAAAAUGCUUAUUACUUAUGCUCUGCAACAAAGUUUUAUUUUUUUUCUAAGUGUUCAGAACAUCUAAAAAUGUAUAAAAUACUGCCUUCUAUACUGCCAAGAUGUUCAUAUAUUUAUGUCUCUUUGAAUCUUAUGCUUAUAUUUCAGUUCAUUAGGAGAAAUUUCUUUCCAAUAACUGACUUCAGACAGUUCAUGAAUGCUUGUGAAAGAAGAAAACCAUUCUGAUUGGGACUAGUCUGAAAAGUUGUAUACUGAAGGCAUCAAAGUUAAGGCCAAAGUUAUGCAUGGUCACUUUUAGACACUAAUGUUUUGUAUGGUAAGUCAGAAAGUAAUUGAAGAAAAAUGUUUAUGAUAUACGUGUUUAGCCAUAAUUGUAUACGUGUAAAUUUUCACUUACGAGUUCUGAGCAAUGACUGGUGUCAAUUAUACUUAUUUGGAACUGUUACAAAUGAAGCUGUGAGUAAUUGAAAAACAAUUCCGUUUCCAAACAGUAUGAUUACUGUUAUACUAGAGAAUUAACAUAUUUCAUCCAAUAUAUUGCAUGUGCAUUUCUGUUAUAUGGAAAUAGAAAUCAUCAAGACCUCCAUGGAACAUUUUAUUUGUUUUUUUGUUCUACCCUUGUGUUGUAUUUUGGUUGGGCAUUUUAGGAUAGUUCUUUACUCUGUUUAUCACUUCUUAAUGAAUAACUUAAGAAUUGGAUUCUUCUUCUUUUUAAGCCUUUCAGGUGAUGAAGAAUAUCCCUUUAGGUUGUAGUUUGUCAAAUGGAACCAAAAUUUUAUGAUAUGUAAAAUAUUAAAUAACUAAAAAUGUACAGAUAUUGGCCUGUAAAAGUUGGAGUUAAGAAAUUGGUUAUUACUUCAGAAUUAUGAAAAUACCACUUUGAAAAAGGUAUCUGGUGUUUUGAAUGGUUGAUAUCUAGCAGCAUGGCCUUAUUAGGCAAUGAUGUACACUGUUACAUAUAGUUGAGAUACUAGUGCAUUCUUUGACUAUAUUUUUAUAUUGGGCCGGUAAUAAAAUAAACAUCUAGCAGCAUGGCCUUAUUAGGUAAUGAUAUACACUGUUACAUAGUUGAGAUACUAGUGCAUUCUUUGACUGUAUUUUCAUAUUGGGCCAGUGAUAAAAUAAGUUUAAAGUCCUUACAGACCUGCUAUUGGGAUUAGAUUUUAUGGUUCUCCUGUUACGAGUUACCACUCUUGUUUACCUGGAUCAGACCUGAAUUUGGUGACAAGUACUGGUUUCAAUAUAUUAAGAUUCUUCUUUCUCUGUUUGGGUUACAUCUUUAUAUUAUUAUGUGACAUUUUUCAACAUGUACAGCAACAUAGGUAUCGUGUUGUUAUGCUUGUUCCGCAUCUCUAGACAAAUAUCAUGCCCAUUUAGUAGACUAUAUUAUACAACUUUACAUUAUUUUUACUUCUGAUUUUGUCUUUGGACUUGAUGUUUGGAGAUUACAGUCAUUAUUUGUAAUGUUUGCGGGAUGCCAUUUAUUUAUCACAAUAAGAACCAUUUAUUACAUUUGUAAAGAUGUGUUCUACAUUGAGGUUUAGUAGUUAAUGUACCUGUUUCGUACCAAUUGUAAUUUGUAAGUUUUUUUCAUAUGCUCCAAUAAAUAUUUAUUUUAAUUUGUAUGUUGUUACAUUCCUGAUGUAUCUCUUGUUAUUUUACAAUAGGGAUUGAGCCUUUCUUGUUACUGUGAUCUUCACUUUCACAUUUAUUUUCCAGGGCUGAGUUGUAGUUUGGAGUACUUGUCAAGUUUGACUCAUCAGAGUUAAAUGACUGUUCAUCAAAGUUUAGAUUAAAGGCUCUUUUUUUUGACAUUCAACUGAUAUGUUAUCAAGAUAUUACUUGUUUUGAAUGUUUUGUAACAUUCUUGUUUUGCUUCUUUCUUCAUGUCUAGAUUAUAGGUUUGUAUAUUCUAUAAAUUUUACAAUUAAGAUAAUAUUAUUUAUUUUCUUCCUAUUAACUGGUAGCACUUGCUCAAGACUACUCUAUUGGUGUUCAUGAAUAUAUAGAUUUAUCAAAAGGAGCAUUUUACACUGGAUGUCACUGUUCAGUGUCACUUCUUGUUUGUAUUUCUCAUAAUUCUUUUCUAGCCUAGUUCAAAGUAUGAUUGACUUGUAGUUUGUUAGUACUUUUCUUCAAGACCUGUUCCAUCACUUUGAUUGUCUUGUUAGUUAUUUAUUAUGUUAAAGAUUGUGUUGGAAUUAAGUUCUUAAAGCUUAAUAUGCUAUUUUUCCCCUGUAAAUAACUAUAUGGAAAAAAAAAGAGGUUUUGUCUGUACUUAUAUAGCCCUUGUGAGAAUUUCCAAACCAAAUUCAAGAUUGAGCUUGACAAUUUCUAUUGUUGGUGGUCUUUCUCUACAUCAUUUUAUUGAAUAAGACCAGUAUUUUAAAGUUCUUAUGUUAGACUUGGAUCUGUCCAAAUAUAGCUUGAAACAUCAAAGACUGAAUAAUUUGUCUUUAUACUCAUGUGGGACACAGAAAACCAUCUGCUGGUUGCAUUUUUAGGUGUUAAAAGGUGCUUAAAUACCAAGUUGGGGAUGCUAUAAGAAAAGUUAUGGAACUAGUAUAGAAUUGAAUUUAGUUUCUUUUUCUGUUCUGUCUUCAGUUUUGUUAUGCCUGUUGUCCUCUGAUAGAUCAGGCUUUGGGUACUUUAAUCAUAGUCAAAUUAUACUAAACUCUUUUGGAUGGCAGUCUGUGUUAGACUAUUCAGAAGUUAUGGUUUGUUAUUGUGGUUAUUCUUCUUCUUAUUAUUAUAUUUUGUUGUAUUACUCAUAGAUGGAUCAGGCUUUUCAAUUUUAAGCAGUGGACACAACAACUGGCAAUGAAAUUAUUUUUAUGUUCUUCCUGACCUGUGGUGUAACAGUUUGAUUCUAUCUCGUCUUCUGUGCUGUUCUUAUUAGGAUUUAGCACUCUUAGUGUUUCUAUAGUUUGUUGCACUGGUUCACACCUGGCAGAGAUGAAGUUUUUUUAUUGUGAGGAGGAUUUUAUUUUAUUUCUAGGCCAUGCUGUAGCUAUCUUAGCUUCUGGAUUAGGCUAUCAUGGCAAAUGAAUAGUGUCAUUAAGAUUCUGUUUCUCUCAGUCUCGAUCUUUUUU
Limulus polyphemus (Atlantic horseshoe crab) is the source of this 3634-nucleotide RNA transcript. RefSeq lists it as uncharacterized. The record is from RefSeq and is a predicted model, not a curated record. The transcript is spliced from 2 exons. NCBI's taxonomy places the organism in Eukaryota, Metazoa, Arthropoda, Merostomata, Xiphosura, Limulidae.